AACGAACGCUGGCGGCAUGCCUAACACAUGCAAGUCGAACGAGAACUUCGGGUCUAUUGUCGCAUGGGUGCGUAACCCGGGGGAUCAUGCCCUUGUGUUCGGAAUAACUCCCCGACAGGGGUGCCAUUACCGGAUAAUGUCUUCGGCCGAAAGAUUUAUAGGACUUGAUUGUGCCCGCGUUGGAUUCGCUAGUUCGUAGGGUAAAAGCCGACUACGGCGCGGAUUCAUAGCUUGUUAGUGAGGAUGAUCAGCGACACUGAGACUGAGACGCGGCCGAGACUCCUACGGGAGGGAGCAGUGGGGAAUGUUGGACCAUGGGCGAAGGGCUGAAGCAGCAAUGCCGCGAGAGUGAUGAAGGCCUUAAAGUUGUAAAGCUCUUUUACCCGGGAUGAUAAUGACGGUACCGGGAGAAUAAGCUCCGGCUAACUCCGUG
Molecule: ribosomal RNA, 433 nt
Filed under: uncultured bacterium
Lineage: Bacteria
Description: partial 16S ribosomal RNA
Rfam family: Bacterial small subunit ribosomal RNA
Source: RNAcentral